UGUUAAAAGUUACAUUCAUUUUUAUUGUUAAAAGCUAGUCUAGCAAACGGAAUAACCAGACAGUUAUAGGUAAUGUGCCGCGUGUACUUCAUGUUAACAUACAGAGAUCAGUUUUUAACAAUAAAAAUGAAUGUAAAUUUUAAUA
Non-coding RNA from Gossypium arboreum, 145 nucleotides. NCBI's taxonomy places the organism in Eukaryota, Viridiplantae, Streptophyta, Magnoliopsida, Malvales, Malvaceae. The record is from Rfam.